RNAcentral lists this non-coding RNA (90 nucleotides) under Chattonella subsalsa. The record is from RNAcentral. Lineage: Eukaryota; Raphidophyceae; Chattonellales; Chattonellaceae.
GGUACGAGAAUCCAUGGUGGUAUAGAAGUAAGUAAUUAUUGUAAUUGUCAUUAUGGCAGGAUGGUUUUCUUUUCGCCUUUUUCUGGAGCA